Molecule: ribosomal RNA, 253 nt
Filed under: uncultured bacterium
Lineage: Bacteria
Description: partial 16S ribosomal RNA
Rfam family: Bacterial small subunit ribosomal RNA
Source: RNAcentral
UACGUAGGGGGCUAGCGUUGUCCGGAUUUAUUGGGCGUAAAGAGCGUGUAGGCGGCCAGGUAGGUCUGGUGUGAAAACUCGAGGCUUAACCUCGAGAUGUCAUCGGAAACCAUCUGGCUAGAGUCCGGAAGAGGAGAGUGGAAUUCCUGGUGUAGCGGUGAAAUGCGCAGAUAUUGGGAAGAACACCAGUGGCGAAGGCGGUUCUCUGGGACGGUACUGACGCUGAGACGCGAAAGCGUGGGGAGCGAACAGG